GACGAACGCUGGCGGCGUGCUUAACACAUGCAAGUCGAGCGGUAAGGCCCUUUCGGGGGUACACGAGCGGCGAACGGGUGAGUAACACGUGGGUGACCUGCCCUUAGCUCUGGGAUAAGCCUGGGAAACUGGGUCUAAUACCGGAUAUGACUCCAUAACGCGUGUUGUGGGGUGGAAAGCCUUGUGCGGCUAGGGAUGGGCCCGCGGCCUAUCAGCUUGUUGGUGGGGUGAUGGCCUACCAAGGCGACGACGGGUAGCCGGCCUGAGAGGGCGACCGGCCACACUGGGACUGAGACACGGCCCAGACUCCUACGGGAGGCAGCAGUGGGGAAUCUUGCGCAAUGGGCGAAAGCCUGACGCAGCGACGCCGCGUGGGGAUGAC
This 382-nucleotide ribosomal RNA is filed under the name uncultured bacterium. RNAcentral describes it as "bacterial SSU rRNA". It matches the Rfam family "Bacterial small subunit ribosomal RNA", at positions 28 to 412 of the family's 1533-position model. The record is from RNAcentral.